GUGACUUUCUCGCUAAAUGUAGCGACUUUCCAAACCCUCUUGUCGACUUUUUUUUUGUCAAAAGUUACAAUUCUAGCGACUUUUCUGGUGUUUUGGAGACUCUGACGUGAAAGCACGUAUCGUUCUGAGGUUACUGUCCUCAACGAGCAGCGGGUGCUGCCGUGAACCCUCCGCCGUCCCAAAGCUCUCACAGGCGGCCAGUCUCACAGUAGCCUCCCGCAGCAGCUGCAGUCAGAGCAGAGAGGAGACCCGCACUAUCCCGCGUCGAGACUGCAAAUGAAUCGCGCAUGCGCAAAGCCACCGCUGAAAAUGUUUCUUCACUGUCACACUAAAGUAAAUCAAUUUGACUCACACAGUCUCAGUCACUUACUCAUCUCGCCCACUGUGUGUGUGCCUAGUUCACGCAUCAGCGUUUACUGUAAUGAAAAGCUAAUGCUAACAAACUACUGUGCUAAUGAAAAGUGAUUUUGUUUCUUCCAGGAAGGGUAAAACCCCCGCAGGCUUCCUCCUAAAAAGCAAAAAGACCCUGUUGGGUAAGGGAGUUCCCUGUUUUACUAAUCACUUUGCCACCAAGCUGCCCCAGCUUGCCCCUGCAGCACCUUCUUUCUCCACCCUCCUACAGCAACCUGCUGGCCAGCAUCAACAGACCAGGUGUUGAAAUCCACAUUGUCACAACCUGGCUCGAGACGAGGUGACAAGGAGGGAGACCACACAAUCAAAUAACUUUGGUCUAUGGUUUAAUUAAGUACAUGAUACACAAAGCACAAGCAAAAUAAGAAUAGCAGGCAGCAGGCCAGAGGGAAGAGACUGAGAAGAUCUUGCAGGUCUGCUUUAUAGCCUGAGCCCAGCCUGCUCAGGUGUACUGCAUCACUGACAAGGUCUCAGCUCCACCAUUCAACCUCCUGAAACGCAUGUUAAGCACACAGCCUGGGAAGGACAGGACAGCCACCUCUGAGGCCGUCAC
Molecule: long non-coding RNA, 964 nt
Filed under: Cottoperca gobio
Lineage: Eukaryota; Metazoa; Chordata; Actinopteri; Perciformes; Bovichtidae
Description: lncRNA (ENSCGOG00000019654.1)
Source: RNAcentral